GAAUCUUCCGCAAUGGGCGAAAGCCUGACGGAGCGACACCGCGUGCAGGAUGAAGGCCUUCGGGUUGUAAACUGCUGUCACGCUUUAGGAACGCACGGGUGUUAAUAGCACUCGGACUGACCAAGGCUAAAGGAAGCACCGGCUAACGCUGUGCCAGCAGCCGCGGUAAGACAGAUGGUGCAAACGUUGUUCGGAAUUACUGGGCAUAAAGAGCACGUAGGUGGUUCGCUAAGUCACGUGUGAAAUCCCCCGGCUCAACCGGGGAAUUGCGCGUGAUACUGACGAACUCGAGGCGGGUAGGGGUGAGCGGAACUCCAGGUGGAGCGGUGAAAUGCGUAGAUAUCUGGAGGAACACCGGUGGCGAAAGCGGCUCACUGGACCCGAUCUGACACUGAGGUGCGAAAGCUAGGGUAGCAAACGGG
RNAcentral lists this ribosomal RNA (422 nucleotides) under uncultured bacterium. Its description in RNAcentral is "bacterial SSU rRNA". It matches the Rfam family "Bacterial small subunit ribosomal RNA", at positions 359 to 776 of the family's 1533-position model. The record is from RNAcentral.